UCAGCAACCCUUCUUUACUGACCGCUAGAUGCCAUUGUCUUCAGUUGAUUUUGUCAUGAUGUACAGCCUGCAUCAUGAAACAUGGCGAAACAAAUUGUUGCUAUUGUAUACUUAUUUUUCUAUGAUUCCGAAUACUGAAUUGCACUUCGUUUGUGAAGAAAGUCAGUCCGUCAUUCCAACAAGUUGACUUAGUGCUCAGAAAUCCGAUAGAUCCAGUUAGAUCCUUAUUAUGAUGUCAAAAGCCUGAAACUCAUAUUUGAAGCCCACAUACAGUGGAAUUAUACAAAAGUUCUUGCGCAUGGACCUUAGGAUCUUUUCUGAAUCUUGCAAGUGUAACCUGUGUCAGAAUGUUAUUUGUUGAGUGUCCGACUUUUCUACAGCCAUUCAGAAGGCAACCCAGCUGAAAGAUAGCCAGAUAGAGUUCCAGUUUCAGUGAAUGUACAUGAAGAGUGUGAAGUGUAUUUAGUACAUUUACCGGAUCUGUUGAUGAAAGUCAAAUGCCUUACUGAAUUCGUCACUCAAAUGAUAAAGUACUAUUUGUGACGUCCCCUGAGAUCGUGAGCCGGCCGCCAGUUUCAAUCUACAACGCAGUUUCUUCAUGGAAUCGUGAGGUCCUUGCACGGAGAUCCUUGAUCCAACGCUGGCUUUCGUCCAUGACAGAAGAGGGACUUCUGCCAACGUUCGGAUCCUUAUCUUCACGACGCACGCUGCUUCUUGUGCUUCACUGGCGAAUUAGAUUACUUCAGUGUUCGCUUCCGUCCGCUGUGAAAUACCCGCAGUCACUCGCCACGGGAUUAUGCCCAGGUAAUGCAGAGGAGACGUCGAGAAGAUGGAUUUUCUUAUCUUUAAAAAUCAUCACCGGUCUCCAUCGGAUGUUGCCCCUGCUCCUGGUGCGAACGAAACUCGGUGGAGUGAAUGGAUAAUGCGCCAACAAAAUACUUCUGGCAAUGGAAAUGGACAAUCGCUGGAAGUGGAAAGGGACAAGCGCGACCGGCACCGAGACUCGUCAUCAACGUGGAUCAUCGUAUUGCUAGUAUUAUUUCGUUUGUGUUAGUGUUAGUUAACCCGUUGGCUGCCACGCCUUUGUU
Molecule: long non-coding RNA, 1088 nt
Organism: Daphnia pulicaria
Lineage: Eukaryota; Metazoa; Arthropoda; Branchiopoda; Diplostraca; Daphniidae
Exons: 6
Source: RefSeq, a predicted model, not a curated record